GUUUAACCCUGUCACUGCGCAGACAGACACUAGCAGAAGGGUUGCAGCUGCAAUUCAGCUAGCGGAGAGACAGCAUGUGCAGGUACUGAAUGGGACCCCGUCUUCAGUGUAGGAGGGAUGGCUGAGCAGCGAUCUCAGAGCUGGGCUUGUUUGCCUCUAUAAAGAAAGACCUUCCGUCUUUUCCUUCUGCUGCAUCUGCUUUUAACCCACUGUUCGUGUGACCAUACAAAAAAGCCACUUUGCUCAAAUAAAAAUGCCUCUGUCCCCCACCCCUCCCCCAACAAACUAUUUUGCAAAGCACUGGUGUCUCAGUGCCACUGGGGUAACUGCUACCCCCUCUGCCCCUGCUUGUGCCCUCUGACUCCCUCUGCCAGCACCUCGGCAUAACUCCGCCUCCUCCCCCCCCCCAUUCCUGAUUUUUCCCUUUAGCCCCUUUCCCAAUGCUGCCUCCAGCUGCUUGUCCCCCCAGACCAGUACAUUUUCACCCCCUGCUCAGACCCUGGUCACCCCCUCCUCCGAUUCGCCCCCUUUGCCACUUUUUAACCCCUCUCAAAAGCAGUCCGCGGAAACUUACGGCUAAUAAGGACAAGGUGAAGGGCAGUGGCUUCAGCAGAUGUACUGAGCACGCUCACUACACCAUACCAGACAUGGACACACUAUUCCAGCAGAGGUCGCACCAGUGCCAAAUAUAGAGCAUCGCACUGGGAGUUCAUGUUCAGCGGAGUAUCAACCAUCAACCCGAAAUCAUUUUCAGAGUCACAGCUUCCCAGGGUAGAGUCCCCCAUUGUGUUAAUAUGUCCUAUAACCUUUGUGCCAAGAUGAGAUGGAAACAGGAGACAGACUUGUUGAAAGUCUCUAGUUUUCACCAAGAAGUGAAACUUGGUAGUGAUUGGACAUCUAAGAGGGCGAACACCAG
This is a long non-coding RNA of Trachemys scripta elegans, 916 nucleotides long. RefSeq lists it as uncharacterized. The transcript has 4 exons. Lineage: Eukaryota; Metazoa; Chordata; Testudines; Emydidae. The record is from RefSeq and is a predicted model, not a curated record.